This 227-nucleotide ribosomal RNA is filed under the name uncultured bacterium. RNAcentral's name for it is "partial 16S ribosomal RNA". It matches the Rfam family "Bacterial small subunit ribosomal RNA", at positions 383 to 607 of the family's 1533-position model. The record is from RNAcentral.
CUGAACCAGCCAAGUAGCGUGAAGGAUGACUGCCCUAUGGGUUGUAAACUUCUUUUAUAAAGGAAUAAAGUCGGGUAUGCAUACCCGUUUGCAUGUACUUUAUGAAUAAGGAUCGGCUAACUCCGUGCCAGCAGCCGCGGUAAUACGGAGGAUCCGAGCGUUAUCCGGAUUUAUUGGGUUUAAAGGGAGCGUAGAUGGAUGUUUAAGUCAGUUGUGAAAGUUUGGCG